RNAcentral lists this ribosomal RNA (258 nucleotides) under Thermoclostridium caenicola. Its description in RNAcentral is "16S rRNA. Bacterial SSU". It matches the Rfam family "Bacterial small subunit ribosomal RNA", at positions 1 to 184 of the family's 1533-position model. The record is from RNAcentral. Lineage: Bacteria; Bacillati; Bacillota; Clostridia; Eubacteriales; Oscillospiraceae.
AUUUAUUUGAGGGUUUGAUCCUGGCUCAGGACGAACGCUGGCGGCGUGCCUAACACAUGCAAGUCGAACGGGAUUCGCAUGCUCAGCACUGAGCGCAAGUUGGUAACAACAAGGUAGAGGGCAUAGCACAUGCAAACUUGGACGCUGAGUGCUGAGCAGGCGAUGAGAGUGGCGAACGGGCGAGUAACGCGUGAGCAACCUACCUCGUACUGGGGGAUAACGUCGGGAAACCGGCGCUAAUACCGCAUAAGACUACGA